UACGAAGGGGGCUAGCGUUGCUCGGAAUCACUGGGCGUAAAGGGCGCGUAGGCGGCCAUUCAAGUCAGAGGUGAAAGCCCAAGGCUCAACCUUGGAAUUGCCUUUGAUACUGUUUGGCUUGAGACCGGAAGAGGUUAGUGGAACUGCGAGUGUAGAGGUGAAAUUCGUAGAUAUUCGGAAGAACACCAGUGGCGAAGGCGACUUACUGGACACAUAUUGACGCUGAGGUGCGAAAGCGUGGGGAGCAAACAGG
This 253-nucleotide ribosomal RNA is filed under the name uncultured bacterium. RNAcentral's name for it is "partial 16S ribosomal RNA". It matches the Rfam family "Bacterial small subunit ribosomal RNA", at positions 524 to 776 of the family's 1533-position model. The record is from RNAcentral.